This 2043-nucleotide long non-coding RNA is filed under the name Strongylocentrotus purpuratus (purple sea urchin). RNAcentral describes it as "uncharacterized LOC105436513". Lineage: Eukaryota; Metazoa; Echinodermata; Echinoidea; Camarodonta; Strongylocentrotidae. The record is from RNAcentral.
GUGUACAGAUGCAUAGUACUCAAGGCAUGCAAGGCGUAGGACUACAUGCACUAUGCGAUGUGUAUGUAAUGUAUUUGAAUUCAGAGUAAAAAAGCCGUUGCAUCAAGUAUCAUCCUCCUGAAUACUCUCGUUUUCUCCUGCAAAUUUACAGUAUGGGCAUCCUUUUUUAACAUCUUUCGUCAAAGAAGUGGAUUCAAAGCACAUUGUGGCCUCAGUAUAUUGAUGUGAAACCAUGCAGAAAAUGCUACUCUCUCUCAACCUUGUGGAUGUUCCCUACUUCCCUAAGGAUCAGCAGCCUCUUGAAACAGUUGAAGCCAUUAUCGAAUUCCUUGCGUCUAUGUUUUCUGGAUCUGAAAGCAAAGCAUAAUGCCAGAGAUUCCACCCAAAAGCUAACCCAUGAGUCCAAGCUGAAGAGGAAUAUUUCCAAAUCGAUGGCUCCACUAAUCCGAUUGAAUUCCUUGCGUCUAUGUUCCCUGGAUCUGAAAGCAGUGCAUAAUGCCAGAGAUUCCACCCAAAAGCUAACCCAUGAGUCCAAGCUGAAGAGGAAUAUGUCCAAAAUUACAUGUAGAUCUACACUCACCCGAUAGUUAAACUGCUAGAAAAAAGGUUUUUUUUUCACUUCAUUAUAAUUUAUAGAGAGAGAUUGGGGGAGGGGGAGAGGUGAGGUGUAGCCACAAACCUGAAUGGCUAAGCUGUGGAACUGAAAUUCCCAUUCAUGUCACUUACAAUUUUAAUGAAUUACAGGGUGUACGAACUGACAUAAUAACAGUUUGAGUAAAAGAUUCCAGUAUUUUGCAUAUAUUUGUAAUUACUAUUUAUGAGGUUGACCUGUUUCAUAAUGCUUAAAUGUAGUAGACUUGAUAUGCUCAGUCUCAUGCUCACCCCCACCCCCCAUCCGCUUCUUAUCAGUUCUUAAAACCUGUUGCAAAUUAUAUAUAAGUUGGUAAUAGAGAAAAAUUGAGUGAGUUAAAUACAAUACAAAUCGAUUCCAUUAUUAAGCAACUAAGACUUGUUCAGAUACGGAACGUGAACCGCCAACAAUUUUCGAAAAUGAUGCAGUUUGGUUUUAUGUGUAAAGCGAAUGGCAACAAGUCUUUGUAUGUUUUGGACUGCGCAUAUUCAGUGAGCUUUUUUUUAAAAAUAAUAUACAGAAAUGUAAAGCAUAUUGAACUCUAUGUCAACAUUAAAAAAACUCUGAGAUUUUGUUUUGCAGCAUCAUAUCUGAACGAGCCUUAAAGGGACUUGGUAACAUUGUUCAUAUGAGAGAAAAUGAUGCUAAGGUAUUGACUUCAAUGCUAUACUGUAUGUACACUUAAAGAUAAUCUGAACAUUUGAGUUAAAAAUAGACCACUAUUGAUGAUUAAAAUUGGGAAAACUGAUCUAAUCCAUUCCUUAAUUCUCCCAACUAUAUUUUUAUAAUUUGAUUAAAUUGAAGUGAGUGUAAAUCAUCACAAAGCAACGAAUUAGCUCCAAUACCUUUUCCAAAUUUAGGCGUUGAAAGAUUUUUAAAGGCCUGUUUUAUAUCUUAUUUUCAUGGAAAAACGGUUGGGGAAAAUUGAAAAUUUUGUUGGGAGAAUUAACUGUUAAAGAGUGACACACAGUAGCGCCUUCAAUGAAAACCAUAAAUACCUUGUGGUUUGAAAAAAAAUUGGUAGUUAAAAGUAUAAAAUUCUUGGAUUGUAUCUGUGAUUUUGAAAGCACAAUAUGGCUUACCUACAUGUAUAUUGAAUUUGCUGUUAAAAUUUAAGUUAAAUUUUAAUUCUUUUGUGAAACUCCUGGGACUUGCCAAAUGAAUGUUGUGACAUUAGCAAUGGAAUAUAUCUCUUUGUGCUAAACUUUUUCAGCAUGUUUGCUAUUUUAUCUUAAACUGGGAAAUACCUUCUGAAUAAUUAUUCCACCGUCACCUUGGAAUUGCCCAACUGAGCCAAUCGUACUGGCGGGAAUGUUAUCUGAUAUAAAUUGUAUUUUAUACUUGAACUUCAGCUUCUGUAUUUGCAACAAAACUAAUUUUUUGAUAUUUAUAAAGAUGAAUGUUGCCACUAA